GACAGAGGGUGCAAACGUUGUUCGGAAUUACUGGGCGUAGAGCGCGUGUAGGCGGCUUGGCAAGUCGGGUGUGAAAGCCCCGGGCUCAACCUGGGAAGUGCACUCGAAACUGCUUGGCUUGAGUACUGGAGAGGGAAGCGGAAUUCUCGGUGUAGAGGUGAAAUUCGUAGAUAUCGAGAGGAACACCGGUGGCGAAGGCGGCUUCCUGGACAGUUACUGACGCUGAGACGCGAAAGCGUGGGGAGCAAACAGG
This 253-nucleotide ribosomal RNA is filed under the name uncultured bacterium. RNAcentral's name for it is "partial 16S ribosomal RNA". It matches the Rfam family "Bacterial small subunit ribosomal RNA", at positions 524 to 776 of the family's 1533-position model. The record is from RNAcentral.